UGGUCAGGCCACCUAGGUCCUGGAGCCCACAGUGAGAAGCAUGGGCUUGACUCUGAGGGCAAAGGAGAGCCACGGAGAGUUUGGUGGUUGUUCCAGGGAUUAUAAUGUGCUUUUCCAUUUUUCCAACGAAUGAAGAACAAAGUGAUCGACUUCUUGCCUCUGCCGGGGCUCUGAAGCGCUGCCCCGAGGCGGUGGAUGGAGGGUGUCAGGCGUGACAUCAAGAGCUCUGCAGCCAGGGCCUGGGACAACCUCCCGCUCCACCUCCCCGGAGCCUCGCAGCCAGCAUCCCCAGCGGCCCGUGCGCCCCGGCCAGGCGGGACCUCAGCGCUGUGGCGGCCGCAGACCUCACCUGGGCAGGCCCCGGGCUGCAUGCGGACCGCCGGGCGCCCAGGACCCUAGAGGCAACCAGCGGGCUGGAUCCGCACAGCGGCCAUGGGGAAUGGAUGGUGUACAGGGGACAAAGCUACACACGUCUUUCAUUUUGGAGGGGGGAAAAAAGAAAAAACGGAAAUGAAAGAUAGAAAAUGUGUGGGCUCUCCGUCCUUUCCUUUGCUCCUGAGCGCUCUCUGGGGUGGGGGGCUCAGCGAGCUUCAAGAGGUGGCCGAGAU
This 608-nucleotide long non-coding RNA is filed under the name Homo sapiens (human). Its description in RNAcentral is "HSALNT0371961". The record is from RNAcentral. Lineage: Eukaryota; Metazoa; Chordata; Mammalia; Primates; Hominidae.